RNAcentral lists this ribosomal RNA (482 nucleotides) under uncultured bacterium. Its description in RNAcentral is "partial 16S ribosomal RNA". It matches the Rfam family "Bacterial small subunit ribosomal RNA", at positions 30 to 505 of the family's 1533-position model. The record is from RNAcentral.
AUUGAACGCUAGCGGGAUGCUUUACACAUGCAAGUCGAACGGCAGCGCGGACUUCGGUCUGGCGGCGAGUGGCGAACGGGUGAGUAAUGUAUCGGAACGUGCCCAGUAGCGGGGGAUAACUACGCGAAAGCGUAGCUAAUACCGCAUACGCCCUACGGGGGAAAGCAGGGGAUCGUAAGACCUUGCACUAUUGGAGCGGCCGAUAUCGGAUUAGCUAGUUGGUGAGGUAACGGCUCACCAAGGCGACGAUCCGUAGCUGGUUUGAGAGGACGACCAGCCACACUGGGACUGAGACACGGCCCAGACUCCUACGGGAGGCAGCAGUGGGGAAUUGUGGACAAUGGGGGCAACCCUGAUCCAGCCAUCCCGCGUGUGCGAUGAAGGCCUUCGGGUUGUAAAGCACUUUUGGCAGGAAAGAAACGUCGCGGGCUAAUACCCCGUGGAACUGACGGUACCUGCAGAAUAAGCACCGGCUAACUACG